This 497-nucleotide ribosomal RNA is filed under the name uncultured bacterium. Its description in RNAcentral is "partial 16S ribosomal RNA". It matches the Rfam family "Bacterial small subunit ribosomal RNA", at positions 28 to 507 of the family's 1533-position model. The record is from RNAcentral.
GAUGAACGCUGGCGGCGUGCCUAAUACAUGCAAGUCGAGCGAACAGAUGAGGAGCUUGCUCCUCUGACGUUAGCGGCGGACGGGUGAGUAACACGUGGAUAACCUACCUAUAAGACUGGGAUAACUUCGGGAAACCGGAGCUAAUACCGGAUAAUAUAUUGAACCGCAUGGUUCAAUAGUGAAAGACGGUUUUGCUGUCACUUAUAGAUGGAUCCGCGCCGCAUUAGCUAGUUGGUAAGGUAACGGCUUACCAAGGCAACGAUGCGUAGCCGACCUGAGAGGGGGAUCGGCCACACUGGAACUGAGACACGGUCCAGACUCCUACGGGAGGCAGCAGUAGGGAAUCUUCCGCAAUGGGCGAAAGCCUGACGGAGCAACGCCGCGUGAGUGAUGAAGGUCUUCGGAUCGUAAAACUCUGUUAUUGGGGAAGAACAAAUGUGUAAGUAACUAUGCACGUCUUGACGGUACCUAAUCAGAAAGCCACGGCUAACUACGUG